UACGGAGGAUGCGAGCGUUAUCUGGAUUUAUUGGGUUUAAAGGGUGCGUAGGCGGGCUGUUAAGUCAGCGGUCAAAUGUCGGGGCUCAACCCCGGCCUGCCGUUGAAACUGGUGGCCUCGAGUGGGCGAGAAGUAUGCGGAAUGCGUGGUGUAGCGGUGAAAUGCAUAGAUAUCACGCAGAACUCCGAUUGCGAAGGCAGCAUACCGGCGCCCGACUGACGCUGAGGCACGAAAGCGUGGGUAUCGAACAGG
This 252-nucleotide ribosomal RNA is filed under the name uncultured bacterium. Its description in RNAcentral is "partial 16S ribosomal RNA". It matches the Rfam family "Bacterial small subunit ribosomal RNA", at positions 524 to 776 of the family's 1533-position model. The record is from RNAcentral.